AUGAAAACAGUAGCCACACCGCUUCUUCUCUUCCAGCAGGGAUCUUGGGAGCGGGAUCCAAGAAAAGACCUCAUAACGCCACAAGGUUCAAAGGAGGAAAAUGUUUUGGAAAAGAGAAAGAGGGGAGUGUUUGUGGUUUCUGGAAGGAAAAAAAUGUUUGGAAGUCGGGUGGCCAAAUUCUCCUCCAGAAUCCGCGCCAAGGGAGAGCCGCCGGGGGCUGGGACUCCGCUCGUACAAACGGAAGCUUCGCUGCGGCUUGCUAAUUUGGGGCGGAGAGUGAAAUGGGGGGGGGGGAGGGAGAGAGAGAAAGUGUCCGUUGAGGGCGUUGAAGCGACACAAACCGCUCUCCGUGGGGCGCGCAGGCACGUCGUCCGGCCGGGGGGUCCCGGGCUGGGUCUCCGUUCGCUCCCUUCCUCCCCUCAGCGGCGCGGUGCCCGCCCGGGGCUCCUCCAGGCUUCUCCCGCGGCUGCCCGACGGGCGCGCGGCGCAGGCGGCGGCUGCUUCAUCCUCCCCAGGCGGAGGGAGUCCGCUCGUCCUUUCCCUCGUUCUCCUCCUCCUCCUUCGGCUCGGGAGCGGGCGGGAUACUUGCUGGGUUAGAAGUUACCGGCCAAAGUCUCCGGACUUUCUUCGGCCCGCCCGCUGCCUCUCGCUCACUCGCAGGGACGUGGCUGGCUUCGCGGUUCUCGUCCUCUCACACACUGCUCAUCCUUUGCGCGGGCGGGAGAUGAGGCGCACAAGUUCAACCGGCGACUCAAAACUUCCUCCGCUGCUUCUCCUUCUAGAGAAACAAAAUGAGAGAUAACCCACCGCCAUUCGCCGAAAUAAAAAUUGGGGAUAAAGACAUCCCUUCUCACACUCGCCACAAAAAACGCACCCGAGCCAGGGAGUUUUUCAGAAGCCGCGAAGGCGGGCGCCUUACACGGAGUAUCAAUUAGCGGAGGGAGGAGGUGGAGAAGGAGGAGUAUAAGACUUUCGACUCCAGAAUGGGCUGGUGGGAAAGGCGGGGCAUGAUCUAGACCCCGCCCACAACCAUUGCUCCUUCGUGGAAAGGAGAAUCAUAGAAACUGAAAGGCUAGAGUAACACCAUAGAGUUGGGACGUUACACACACACACACACACACACUGGCUUCCGGUUCCAUUUAGAAUGUGGUAGCCGCGUAAUAUGUCUGCGUGGAAGCGAGCGGAGCACAGCCGCGCCUGCACUUGGUUGACCGCAGCUUUUGACUGAGGGAGCGGUGGCGGUGACAGUUAACCAGGAUCACUCUUGCUGCGGAGCGUUGAUAACUCAUUCAUAGCAACACCGUUGGCUGAAUUUAGUGCACUUGAAAUACCAUUAUUAUUAUUGUU
RNAcentral lists this long non-coding RNA (1347 nucleotides) under Podarcis muralis (Common wall lizard). RNAcentral describes it as "lncRNA (ENSPMRG00000011707.1)". The record is from RNAcentral. Lineage: Eukaryota; Metazoa; Chordata; Lepidosauria; Squamata; Lacertidae.